RNAcentral lists this long non-coding RNA (886 nucleotides) under Homo sapiens (human). RNAcentral describes it as "long non-coding RNA NONHSAT125326". The record is from RNAcentral. Lineage: Eukaryota; Metazoa; Chordata; Mammalia; Primates; Hominidae.
AGCAGGCGGGUGCAGCCUGUCCCGCGUACCCAGGCGUCCUCGGUACCCACGAAACGGAUCCAAAGAGUCUCAACACUAAUGUAACAUCCCACCCUGACCCAUCUUUGCCCUCUGAGAAAAGCGGCCCGAAAUGAGUUGAGUUAUUCAUCCCCACCGCGGAGUCAGGGACAAGGAGCAGUUGAGUGGCCGAGGAGUGAGAGAGAAUCGAAUCCACUCGGGUCCUCCAAGCUGUUGGUUACCCACUUGGGCUUUCACAGCAAAGCUGCCAAAUCCCAGAAUUGAGGCCUCGGUGAAAAGCGCGCUGAGACUUGGGUAGGAGGCCCGGUGGGACCCGCGAGCUUUCUCUCCCAGCCCGAUGCAGCAGUUCAUUAAGCGGCUGUGUUUCCUCCUAACUGGCGAAGGACUCAGGUGGGCGGAGCAGAGCUCAGCUUGGGAGGAGGCGGACGCGAGUAGCUCGGCAGGGGGACUCGCUUGGCUUUCGUGCCAUCCGUGGACACAGUCGCGCGGGUCUUUGUGGGAAGAAACAAAUCACAAAAGCAAUUAAGAGAGCUCAAACAAUGGGGUUUAUGCCAGUUACAUACAAGGAUCCUGCAUAUUUCAGGGACCCUAAAGUUUAUAACAUCAGAUAUCCGGAAUAAAUUCCAUCACAUUACCACCAGUAAACUUAUUUUAUAAGAUGGGUCUCACUGUGUUGCCCAGGCUGGUCUCUAACUCCUGGCCUCAAUCAUUCCUGCCUUGUCUUCCCUAAGUGCUGGGAUUACAGCUGUGAGCCACUGUGCCUGGCCUCACUUUUCCAAUUCUAAAGAAUGUGUGUAAGCCUUUCCCUCAACAACUUAUUGAAAGGCGAAAAAAGGUUUGGAAAUAAAAGGAUCUGAUGUUUGAAAAA